This 497-nucleotide ribosomal RNA is filed under the name uncultured bacterium. RNAcentral's name for it is "partial 16S ribosomal RNA". It matches the Rfam family "Bacterial small subunit ribosomal RNA", at positions 28 to 507 of the family's 1533-position model. The record is from RNAcentral.
GAUGAACGCUGGCGGCGUGCCUAAUACAUGCAAGUCGAGCGAACAGACGAGGAGCUUGCUCCUUUGACGUUAGCGGCGGACGGGUGAGUAACACGUGGAUAACCUACCUAUAAGACUGGGAUAACUUCGGGAAACCGGAGCUAAUACCGGAUAACAUGUUGAACCGCAUGGUUCAACAGUGAAAGACGGUCUUGCUGUCACUUAUAGAUGGAUCCGCGCCGCAUUAGCUAGUUGGUAAGGUAACGGCUUACCAAGGCAACGAUGCGUAGCCGACCUGAGAGGGUGAUCGGCCACACUGGAACUGAGACACGAUCCAGACUCCUACGGGAGGCAGCAGUAGGGAAUCUUCCGCAAUGGGCGAAAGCCUGACGUAGCAACGCCGCGUGAGUGAAGAAGGUCUUCGGAUCGUAAAACUCUGUUAUUAGGGAAGAACAAAUGUGUAAGUAACUAUGCACGUCUUGACGAUACCUAAUCAGAAAGCCACGGCUAACUACGUG